Small nuclear RNA from Loxodonta africana (African savanna elephant), 173 nucleotides. Its record names the gene U2. It matches the Rfam family "U2 spliceosomal RNA". From Rfam's summary of the family: U2 is a small nuclear RNA (snRNA) component of the spliceosome (involved in pre-mRNA splicing). Complementary binding between U2 snRNA (in an area lying towards the 5' end but 3' to hairpin I) and the branchpoint sequence (BPS) of the intron results the bulging out of an unpaired adenosine, on the BPS, which initiates a nucleophilic attack at the intronic 5' splice site, thus starting the first of two transesterification reactions that mediate splicing. The record is from Ensembl. NCBI's taxonomy places the organism in Eukaryota, Metazoa, Chordata, Mammalia, Proboscidea, Elephantidae.
AUCCCUUCUUUGGCUAUUGGCUAAGAUAAAACAUAGAAUCUGUUCUUAUCCGUUCAAGUUUGUGAUGUGUUCUCUAUCUGCCUAUAUGGAAUUGAGAGAGAGAUUUGGAGCUUGCUCUGUCUACUCCUUUCCUAGCCUGGAAUUGCAAUACUUCCAGGAACAGUGCAUUUCUU